RNAcentral lists this ribosomal RNA (852 nucleotides) under Monacha sedissana. RNAcentral's name for it is "partial 16S ribosomal RNA". The record is from RNAcentral. Lineage: Eukaryota; Metazoa; Mollusca; Gastropoda; Stylommatophora; Hygromiidae.
GUAAUCUAAAAUAUAUUUAAUUAACAAUUCACGAAACUAGGCGAGCUAAAUUGAAUUUUAUUUUAGUGAUUAAGAUUAGCGUAGUAUAGUUAAUUAAUUAUUUUAAUUUAGGAGUGAUAUACCUAUCAAGUCUAGUGAUAUCUUGAUUUUAAGGAAACAUAUAUAGUAUGAAAGUCAUUUUAGAAAUGGUGAGGUUUCUAGAUAAAACAAAAAUUGAUUUCUUAGAAGUAGUAUUUGUAAAAAAUACUACUUAUUAAAUUUAUAACAUAUGGUACUAAAGGUUUGUUAAUUAUACUUAUAUUUCUAUGUAUAAUUAAUAAUAUAGAAAAAAAUGAUUACAUUAGUAUAUUAUACAUUCUUUAAUUAGGAACUCGGCAAAUAUUUUCUCAACUGUUUAUCAAAAACAUAGUUUUAAGUAAAUAGUUAAAAUUUUCUCUGCUCAAUGAUAAAUUAAAUAGCCGCAGUACCUUGACUGUGCAAAGGUAGCAUAAUCAAUUGGCUUAUAAUUGAAGUCUAGAAUGAAUGGGAUUUUGAGAAAUGACUGUCUUAUUAAAGUUUUUUGAACUUACUUAAUAAGUGAAAAUUCUUAUAUUUAGAAAAAAGACGAGAAGACCCUAGAAAUUUUUUAACUUUUAAAUUCUAAUUUCAUUUUGUUGGGGCGACAAGGUAACAAAAAACCUACCUUUAAAAAUAGGAAACUAUUAAGUUGAAAAACUAAAUUACUCUAGGGAUAACAGCAUAAUAUUAAAAAGUUUGUGACCUCGAUGUUGGACUAGGGAGAGUUAUACUUAAAAGGUAUAGCUCCUGGCUCUGUUCGAGCUGUAUCCCCUACAUGAUCUGAGUUCAGACCGG